RNAcentral lists this ribosomal RNA (498 nucleotides) under uncultured bacterium. Its description in RNAcentral is "bacterial SSU rRNA". It matches the Rfam family "Bacterial small subunit ribosomal RNA", at positions 15 to 518 of the family's 1533-position model. The record is from RNAcentral.
GAUCCUGGCUCAGGAUGAACGCUGGCGGCGUGCUUAACACAUGCAAGUCGAACGGAGUUUUAACGGAAGUUUCGGAUGGAAGUUAAAACUAGUGGCGGACGGGUGAGUAACGCGUGGGUAACCUGCCUCAUACAGGGGGAUAACAGUUAGAAAUGACUGCUGACACCGCAUAAUAUAGCGAAACCGCAUGAUUUUGCUAUCAAAUAUUUAUAGGUAUGAGAUGGGCCCGCGUCUGAUUAGCUAGUUGGUGGGGUAAAAGCCUACCAAGGCGACGAUCAGUAGCCGGCUUGAGAGAGUGACCGGCCACAUUGGGACUGAGACACGGCCCAAACUCCUACGGGAGGCAGCAGUGGGGAAUAUUGGACAAUGGGGGAAACCCUGAUCCAGCCGACGCCGCGUGAGUGAAGAAGUUAUUUCGGUAUGUAAAGCUCUAUCAGCAGGGAAGAUAAUGACAGUACCUGACUAAGAAGCCCCGGCUAACUACGUGCCAGCCGCCGC